This 864-nucleotide ribosomal RNA is filed under the name Curvularia hominis. Its description in RNAcentral is "eukaryotic LSU rRNA". It matches the Rfam family "Eukaryotic large subunit ribosomal RNA", at positions 68 to 950 of the family's 3401-position model. Lineage: Eukaryota; Fungi; Ascomycota; Dothideomycetes; Pleosporales; Pleosporaceae. The record is from RNAcentral.
ACAGGGAUUGCCCUAGUAACGGCGAGUGAAGCGGCAACAGCUCAAAUUUGAAAUCUGGCUCUUUCAGAGUCCGAGUUGUAAUUUGCAGAGGGCGCUUUGGCUUUGGCAGCGGUCCAAGUUCCUUGGAACAGGACGUCACAGAGGGUGAGAAUCCCGUACGUGGUCGCUAGCUAUUGCCGUGUAAAGCCCCUUCGACGAGUCGAGUUGUUUGGGAAUGCAGCUCUAAAUGGGAGGUAAAUUUCUUCUAAAGCUAAAUAUUGGCCAGAGACCGAUAGCGCACAAGUAGAGUGAUCGAAAGAUGAAAAGCACUUUGGAAAGAGAGUCAAACAGCACGUGAAAUUGUUGAAAGGGAAGCGCUUGCAGCCAGACUUGCUUGCAGUUGCUCAUCCGGGCUUUUGCCCGGUGCACUCUUCUGCAGGCAGGCCAGCAUCAGUUUGGGCGGUGGGAUAAAGGUCUCUGACACGUUCCUUCCUUCGGGUUGGCCAUAUAGGGGAGACGUCAUACCACCAGCCUGGACUGAGGUCCGCGCAUCUGCUAGGAUGCUGGCGUAAUGGCUGUAAGCGGCCCGUCUUGAAACACGGACCAAGGAGUCUAACAUCUAUGCGAGUGUUUGGGUGUCAAGCCCGAGCGCGUAAUGAAAGUGAACGGAGGUGGGAACCCGCAAGGGCGCACCAUCGACCGAUCCUGAAGUUUACGGAAGGAUUUGAGUAAGAGCAUGGCUGUUGGGACCCGAAAGAUGGUGAACUAUGCUUGAAUAGGGUGAAGCCAGAGGAAACUCUGGUGGAGGCUCGCAGCGGUUCUGACGUGCAAAUCGAUCGUCAAAUUUGGGCAUAGGGGCGAAAGACUAAUCGAACUAUCUAGUAG